This 118-nucleotide ribosomal RNA is filed under the name Lepisosteus oculatus (spotted gar). The record is from RNAcentral. Lineage: Eukaryota; Metazoa; Chordata; Actinopteri; Semionotiformes; Lepisosteidae.
GCCAGCAGCCAUAUCACCCUGCAGCUCUCAACUGGCGGCUCCACCGAAGCUCAGCAGGGUUGAGCCUGGUCAGUACCUGGAUGGGAGAGCUCCUGGGAAGCUAUGGUUGCUGCUGGAA